ACACAUGCAGUCGAACGAUGAAGGAGGAGCUUGCUCCUCCGGAUUAGUGGCGAACGGGUGAGUAAUACGUGAGCAAUGUGCCCUUGACUCUGGGAUAAGCGCUGGAAACGGCGUCUAAUACCGGAUACGACCAUCGGAGGCAUCUCCUGGUGGUGGAAAGAACUUCGGUCAAGGAUCAGCUCACGGCCUAUCAGCUUGUUGGUGAGGUAAUGGCUCACCAAGGCGACGACGGGUAGCCGGCCUGAGAGGGUGACCGGCCACACUGGGACUGAGACACGGCCCAGACUCCUACGGGAGGCAGCAGUGGGGAAUAUUGCACAAUGGGCGCAAGCCUGAUGCAGCAACGCCGCGUGAGGGACGAAGGCCUUCGGGUUGUAAACCUCUUUUAGCAGGGAAGAAGCGAGAGUGACGGUACCUGCAGAAAAAGCACCGGCUAACUACGUGCCAGCAGCCGCGGUAAUACGUAGGGUGCAAGCGUUGUCCGGAAUUAUUGGGCGUAAAGAGCUCGUAGGCGGUUUGUCACGUCUGCUGUGAAAACCCGAGGCUCAACCUCGGGCUUGCAGUGGGUACGGGCAGACUAGAGUGCGGUAGGGGAGAUUGGAAUUCCUGGUGUAGCGGUGGAAUGCGCAGAUAUCAGGAGGAACACCGAUGGCGA
This 655-nucleotide ribosomal RNA is filed under the name bacterium xpnta555lbIM2onp9.24. RNAcentral describes it as "bacterial SSU rRNA". It matches the Rfam family "Bacterial small subunit ribosomal RNA", at positions 51 to 718 of the family's 1533-position model. The record is from RNAcentral.